Molecule: ribosomal RNA, 253 nt
Filed under: uncultured bacterium
Lineage: Bacteria
Description: partial 16S ribosomal RNA
Rfam family: Bacterial small subunit ribosomal RNA
Source: RNAcentral
UACAGAGGGGGCAAGCGUUGUUCGGAAUUACUGGGCGUAAAGGGCGCGUAGGCGGCCUGCUAAGUCGAACGUGAAAUCCCCGGGCUCAACCCGGGAACUGCGUCCGAUACUGGUUGGCUUGAAUCCGGGAGAGGGAUGCGGAAUUCCAGGUGUAGCGGUGAAAUGCGUAGAUAUCUGGAGGAACACCGGUGGCGAAGGCGGCAUCCUGGACCGGCAUUGACGCUGAGGCGCGAAAGCCAGGGGAGCAAACGAG